Cucurbita pepo subsp. pepo (vegetable marrow) is the source of this 389-nucleotide long non-coding RNA. RefSeq lists it as uncharacterized. NCBI's taxonomy places the organism in Eukaryota, Viridiplantae, Streptophyta, Magnoliopsida, Cucurbitales, Cucurbitaceae. The record is from RefSeq and is a predicted model, not a curated record.
GUUCUGCGUUGAAAAAGGUAUGGACAUGAAGAUAAUAAUCAUGAGAACACAACCCAUUUUGUGUAAAAUCAAGAUUCAUCAAAACCCAAGGAGAUUCGAUGGCAGAGAAGAGGAGGAAGACGAGAGUCUUUAAUGCUACUCCAAGGAACCUCUCUGAACAUGGCUGUUGUUUGUUUUUGGGUAUGUAAACUGACCUUCCUUACCUUUUCUUUUGAUUUACUCUUGUUUUUAUCAGUCAUUAUCCCCCAUAAACCUCAUCUGCAGAAGCACCAUUAAAUGCACUUGUUUCUGCAUCACCCAACUCAGUCUCCAUUCUGUUGUCUUGUUUUGUUUCUUCUGCUUUGUGUUAGAGAAAAGUUAAGCAUGCUUUUUCGCUGCUAGUUGGUCCG